This 216-nucleotide non-coding RNA is filed under the name Pelosinus sp. RNAcentral describes it as "T-box sequence". It matches the Rfam family "T-box leader". Rfam says of the family: Uncharged tRNA acts as the effector for transcription antitermination of genes in the T-box leader family. T-boxes are found upstream of many aminoacyl-tRNA synthetase genes and some amino acid biosynthetic genes usually in Gram-positive bacteria. The anticodon of a specific tRNA base pairs to a specifier sequence within the T-box motif, and the NCCA acceptor tail of the tRNA base pairs to a conserved bulge in the T-box antiterminator hairpin. Lineage: Bacteria; Bacillati; Bacillota; Negativicutes; Selenomonadales; Sporomusaceae. The record is from RNAcentral.
UAAAAAGCGAUGAUCGGGAAGAGUAUUCAUGAUUUUACAUACACAGAGAGUAGGGAUUGCUGAGAACCUAUGAUGAUAAUCUGAAGAAAAUCACCUGAGAGCUGAUGGCUGAAAUUAGAGUAAGUCAAUCCGUAUUUCUGCGUUAAAGGAUAAGGUAUGCUAGUACCUGAAUGGUUGUUAAAGGUGGUAUAACGAAUGUAAAACUUCGUCCUGGAC